This 82-nucleotide transfer RNA is filed under the name Blyttiomyces helicus. It matches the Rfam family "tRNA". From Rfam's summary of the family: Transfer RNA (tRNA) molecules are approximately 80 nucleotides in length. Lineage: Eukaryota; Fungi; Chytridiomycota; Chytridiomycetes. The record is from Rfam by way of RNAcentral.
GACACGAUGGCCGAGUGGUUAAGGCGAUUGACUCGAAAUCAAUUGGGAUUCUCCCGCGCAGGUUCGAAUCCUGCUCGUGUCG